CCUACGGGGGGCAGCAGUGGGGAAUAUUGGACAAUGGGCGAAAGCCUGAUCCAGCCAUGCCGCGUGUGUGAAGAAGGCCUUCGGGUUGUAAAGCACUUUCAGUGGGGAAGAAAGCCUUGGGGCUAAUACCCUCGAGGAAGGACAUCACCCACAGAAGAAGCACCGGCUAACUCCGUGCCAGCAGCCGCGGUAAUACGGAGGGUGCGAGCGUUAAUCGGAAUUACUGGGCGUAAAGCGCGCGUAGGCGGUCUGAUAAGCCGGUUGUGAAAGCCCCGGGCUCAACCUGGGAACGGCAUCCGGAACUGUCAGGCUAGAGGGCAGGAGAGGAAGGUAGAAUUCCCGGUGUAGCGGUGAAAUGCGUAGAGAUCGGGAGGAAUACCAGUGGCGAAGGCGGCCUUCUGGACUGACACUGACGCUGAGGUGCGAAAGCGUGGGUAGCAAACAGGACUAGAUACCCCAGUAGUC
This 465-nucleotide ribosomal RNA is filed under the name Vreelandella stevensii. RNAcentral describes it as "partial 16S ribosomal RNA". It matches the Rfam family "Bacterial small subunit ribosomal RNA", at positions 338 to 795 of the family's 1533-position model. Lineage: Bacteria; Pseudomonadati; Pseudomonadota; Gammaproteobacteria; Oceanospirillales; Halomonadaceae. The record is from RNAcentral.